Molecule: long non-coding RNA, 635 nt
Organism: Cyanistes caeruleus (blue tit)
Lineage: Eukaryota; Metazoa; Chordata; Aves; Passeriformes; Paridae
Source: RefSeq, a predicted model, not a curated record
AGGAGCAGCUGCACAAACCCUUGGUUGCCAUAGUAAAGACUUUCCCUAUUCCGUGGUUUCAUUCAAACACACAGCAAAGAUCCAGGAACCCCAACCACCUAUGGAGUUCCUUGGAUAAUCUGGACUUUACACCUCAUCUGUACACCUCUUCCUGACUGCAAGGUGCCAUACAGGGGCACAAUGAAACCCUGCAGUUCACACAGAAAGAGGGAAUUUAUAGAUCAUCACAGACAGACUGACCACUGGAGUAUUCCACUGCAUCAGGUCUUUCUUCCAGUGUUAUAAUUCGAAAGGGAAAUGGGCAGAAGAUGAAAGUGUGCACAGGACUGCCUACUUAAACUGGCUUGGCUUCUCCUGCUGAAGAUGGCAAAAAGACAGAUUUGGUACUGUACAAGCUGCCACAGAACAUUUUUGCUUCUAGCCUAUGCACUUUCAAAGGGAAGAAGAUAUGCAGAGAAUCGUGGUCAUCUCAGAGGAAAAGCAAGCAGACUAGGUUGCCUGGCCUGAAAGUCAGCUUUCCAGAACAAUCAUUAAAAACCAUCUCUACUUCUAAUCACACAGGGAAAGCUUCUUUCUUAAAAGAGCAACAAAUUUUUCUAUAGUUGUCACUUAUACACAACUUGUGCAAACUGGAA